This 840-nucleotide unclassified non-coding RNA is filed under the name Hevea brasiliensis (rubber tree). The record is from RNAcentral. Lineage: Eukaryota; Viridiplantae; Streptophyta; Magnoliopsida; Malpighiales; Euphorbiaceae.
UGGUAUUUAGAACUAAUGAAGGAAAAUAGGAAAGGCAUUGUUUCUUGAAUGUGGAUGAUUUUUUAUAUGAAUUCUUAUUUUGGAAUGAGGGCAUGAUUCCAGUGUAUAAAUUAUGUAAGCCUUUGCUCAAAACAAUAAACUGGUAAUAGUUUAGUUUCUUUCAUGCGUGUGGUCAAGAGUUCUCCAACCUUAUUUUUGGGACCUUUCUAAAAAUUGCCCAUGUUAUUUGUCAAAACCUGGACUGGAUCAGCCAACUGGUUGAACUUUUUGCUUAGCUGGCUUUGACUUGGAUUCACUCUUCAGAGUCAUCUGGGUGUGAUUCAUGAAGGCUUCCUGAUUUAAUCGACUGAUAUAGUGUGGUCCAUCAACUUUGAAAGUCACAUGCCUAUUUAUUGAACUAAAUAAUCCAUAAAGAAACAAAAGGAGACUUGCUACUGCAUCAUAAUGCGUCCCAAGAGUGAAGUGGACAGAUUGGAAUAGUUUGUUAUUUGUGCAUUUAUGGUAGAAUAUACAUGUAAAUUAGGAACAUCAGUGAAAGGGUAAAAUGUUAUUUGUGGAUGUACAGAGUAAGGAAUUAAGAGAGAAAUAAAUUUGCCAAAUGAGAUGCGAUGCUGCUGGAAAUUAAUGCAGCGAAUUUAAAGAAAAAAAGAGAUAACUAAAGAGAGUGUGCUAUAGAGAAAAAGAAGAAAAGGAAAAUAGCGAAUGCAACAUAUGCAUGCUUUUAAAGGCUAGCCAACCAAAACAUUGAUAUUGCAUUGUCAAAAGCCUUGGAAAGAUAUGAAGAUUGAUAGUUAUUCACAAGGAGUGGACAGUUCUUUUAAUAUGAGCAUUCUUAACAAG